RNAcentral lists this ribosomal RNA (1371 nucleotides) under uncultured bacterium. RNAcentral describes it as "bacterial SSU rRNA". It matches the Rfam family "Bacterial small subunit ribosomal RNA", at positions 28 to 1381 of the family's 1533-position model. The record is from RNAcentral.
GAUGAACGCUGGCGGCGUGCCUAAUACAUGCGAGUCGAGCGAACGGACGAGAAGCUUGCUUCUCUGAUGUUAGCGGCGGACGGGUGAGUAACACGUGGAUAACCUACCUAUAAGACUGGGAUAACUUCGGGAAACCGGAGCUAAUACCGGAUAAUAUUUUGAACCGCAUGGUUCAAAAGUGAAAGACGGUCUUGCUGUCACUUAUAGAUGGAUCCGCGCUGCAUUAGCUAGUUGGUAAGGUAACGGCUUACCAAGGCAACGAUGCAUAGCCGACCUGAGAGGGUGAUCGGCCACACUGGAACUGAGACACGGUCCAGACUCCUACGGGAGGCAGCAGUAGGGAAUCUUCCGCAAUGGGCGAAAGCCUGACGGAGCAACGCCGCGUGAGUGAUGAAGGUCUUCGGAUCGUAAAACUCUGUUAUCAGGGAAGAACAUAUGUGUAAGUAACUGUGCACAUCUUGACGGUACCUAAUCAGAAAGCCACGGCUAACUACGUGCCAGCAGCCGCGGUAAUACGUAGGUGGCAAGCGUUAUCCGGAAUUAUUGGGCGUAAAGCGCGCGUAGGCGGUUUUUUAGUCUGAUGUGAAAGCCCACGGCUCAACCGUGGAGGGUCAUUGGAAACUGGAAAACUUGAGUGCAGAAGAGGAAAGUGGAAUUCCAUGUGUAGCGGUGAAAUGCGCAGAGAUAUGGAGGAACACUAGUGGCGAAGGCGACUUUCUGGUCUGUAACUGACGCUGAUGUGCGAAAGCGUGGGGAUCAAACAGGAUUAGAUACCCUGGUAGUCCACGCCGUAAACGAUGAGUGCUAAGUGUUAGGGGGUUUCCGCCCCUUAGUGCUGCAGCUAACGCAUUAAGCACUCCGCCUGGGGAGUACGACCGCAAGGUUGAAACUCAAAGGAAUUGACGGGGACCCGCACAAGCGGUGGAGCAUGUGGUUUAAUUCGAAGCAACGCGAAGAACCUUACCAAAUCUUGACAUCCUUUGACAACUCUAGAGAUAGAGCUUUCCCCUUCGGGGGACAAAGUGACAGGUGGUGCAUGGUUGUCGUCAGCUCGUGUCGUGAGAUGUUGGGUUAAGUCCCGCAACGAGCGCAACCCUUAAGCUUAGUUGCCAUCAUUAAGUUGGGCACUCUAAGUUGACUGCCGGUGACAAACCGGAGGAAGGUGGGGAUGACGUCAAAUCAUCAUGCCCCUUAUGAUUUGGGCUACACACGUGCUACAAUGGACAAUACAAAGGGCAGCGAAACCGCGAGGUCAAGCAAAUCCCAUAAAGUUGUUCUCAGUUCGGAUUGUAGUCUGCAACUCGACUACAUGAAGCUGGAAUCGCUAGUAAUCGUAGAUCAGCAUGCUACGGUGAAUACGUUCCCGGGUCU